Triticum aestivum (bread wheat) is the source of this 1153-nucleotide long non-coding RNA. RefSeq lists it as uncharacterized. The transcript is spliced from 3 exons. The record is from RefSeq and is a predicted model, not a curated record. NCBI's taxonomy places the organism in Eukaryota, Viridiplantae, Streptophyta, Magnoliopsida, Poales, Poaceae.
UCCCCCAGACCCCACCCCCGUACCUCUUCCCAACCGCCGAUUCAGCCAGAAGUCGCCAAUCUGCUCUUCCACUCCUUUAUCCUCAUCAUAUCGCCGCAAAGAUCUCCUCUCCCACUCUCGUUCCCUUGCUACGGUGCAGAUCUCAUCCGUACUACAACCACAACGCCGUGGACACUGGACACCACCACCACAUCCUUGGCGGCACUCCCUUCUGCUGGUGGCAGCUCAACGAUUGCUUGCUACCGUUGUGGCACUGGCGGUUUAUGAUGCUGCUGGGUCACCGUUGUGGCGCCGCCGACGAACCGCGAGCCCGUACACCGGCGUUGUCCCCUCCGCGUGGGCCGACCUAGACGGAAGGCAACGGAUCCAGCACCUUUCACCUCCAACGGCGCGGCCUCCUCAACUGAGCGGCGACGGCUGGACCUCCUCCGACUAGGUGCUUGGUGAGGAGCUCGAUGCGGGAGGGCGACCUGCAGCAGCGUCGGCGACAGCGACAGACGACUCCCUUACCCUUGCACCCCAUCUUCUCCAUGUAUCAUGCACUCUCGCACCGCUUGGUGAGGAGCUCGAUGCGGGAGGGCGACCUGCAGCAGCGUCGGCGGCAGCGACAGACGACUCCCUUACCCUUGCACCCCAUCUUCUCCCUGUAUCAUGCACUCUCGCACCGGGGCACACCAUCUUUGUCCUCUCUAAUGGCUCCUCCCCCAUCACUACUACUACACCGGUGUCAUGCUAGCCGAGAUUGUCGCCGGGGCCAACAUAAGAGUAAGAGUUCAUGACACAUACGAGUUCUAAAAUUACUGGUCUCAAUGUUUAGUGCACCUAAAACUGCUUUGGUGCAGUAGAAAGAAUGAGAAAUAUAGGGCCCAGCGGAGCAAAGGAAAAGUGUAACAGAAAUUAGAGAGUUGGAGGGUUCUCAGACUAUCAGAGAUUGAAAAGCCCCAAGGAUAAGAAGCAUUUGGAGCUGCAAAAAUGUGACAUAUAUUUCUUUAAAUAUUCACAUCAUGUAUUGUGACUGAUUUUUCUUUUUGAAGGAACCAGGGAUUAAUUACAAUUGGAAAAUGUGACAUAUAUUUCUUGAAAUAUUCACAUCAUGUACUGUGACUGAUUUUCCUUUUUGAAUGAACCGGGAACUAAUUACAAUUGGAUGUAA